Molecule: ribosomal RNA, 306 nt
Filed under: Triticum aestivum (bread wheat)
Lineage: Eukaryota; Viridiplantae; Streptophyta; Magnoliopsida; Poales; Poaceae
Description: partial small subunit ribosomal RNA
Source: RNAcentral
AUGAAGGUCAAGGAGAAGACUGUCAAAGGAUCAAAAAGGCCCGUUGGUGGAUUUGAGAAAGCAACUUCAAAGAAGACAAGGAACACAGAUGAUAUUGCACAACUAGAGCCUCAUGGCACCUCAAAGGUAUUAUACUUCGUCGCUUUGUGUCCUAUAAAACCUUCAACAUUAUUGACCUUUCAUAUCAUUUUUCAUAGCCCCCUUCGGAGAAAGCAACUUCAAAGAAGAAAAAGAACAAAAAAGAUAUUGUACAACUACAACCUCAUGGCCUCUCAACGGUAUAACGAUGUUGCUUGUUUCUUAUAA